CAAAAUUUGUGUUGCUGCAUGUAUACUUACUAAUAGCUUAUCUUUAAUUAUUGAAUUAUUUAGUUUGAUUUUAUUUUUACAGGUUAUUUUUAUUGCUUAUUGACGUUUACUAUCUGUACAUAACUUUAAAAAUCUCUUUACUAAUUUUCCGAACCUACUGUGCCGUUCUAAUGGGAUACCAUUGCUGAAAACUUGGCGUGACCGUUCAUCACACCCAACCAUAAUAACGCGAAGCGUCGAGAAACCUCCCAACCAUAUCUUAAACAAACCAAAAUCAUUAUUGGACUAUCCGGAAACAUCCGAACCAAACUCCAAAUCUAAAUAAAUUGUUGCUGGAACUAUCGCAGUUCCAAAUGACAUCAACCUACGGUAUCCCCAUUCCAACAGCCUCUACUGUAUUCCGAUUAAUCGACCCGUCGAAAUAAUCGACGAAACUUUUGACAUUUCUUACUGUCAGCUAACUGUGUGGUGAAAAUGAAAAUGAAAACAAAACCAAAGUGAAAAGAAAACUGAAAAAUGUUUAAUUAUUGUGAGUGGCAAAGAAACAACUUAAAAAAAAAACAACUAUUGCAGCGAGAAACUUGGAAAAACUCAACAACUAUUGCAGGAAUCAUGGAUGGGCAACUGUGUCAGCUACGUCUGUUGUUUGUGGUGCAAAAUCUAUUGAAAAAGUUGCAAGCAGUCCUAGAGGGGAUCCAUCGAGCCGCGAAGAGGAGAUCGCUUGUAAGGACAACGUUAUUGAAGCCAAUCCCUCUCGCCGAACUCGGAGUUGCCAAACC
Aedes albopictus (Asian tiger mosquito) is the source of this 779-nucleotide long non-coding RNA. RefSeq lists it as uncharacterized. The record is from RefSeq and is a predicted model, not a curated record. NCBI's taxonomy places the organism in Eukaryota, Metazoa, Arthropoda, Insecta, Diptera, Culicidae. The transcript has 2 exons.